Molecule: ribosomal RNA, 506 nt
Filed under: uncultured bacterium
Lineage: Bacteria
Description: partial 16S ribosomal RNA
Rfam family: Bacterial small subunit ribosomal RNA
Source: RNAcentral
AUUGAACGCUGGCGGCAGGCCUAACACAUGCAAGUCGAACGGUAACAGGAAACAGCUUGCUGUUUCGCUGACGAGUGGCGGACGGGUGAGUAAUGUCUGGGAAACUGCCUGAUGGAGAGGGAUAACUACUGGAAACGGUAGCUAAUACCGCAUAACGUCGCAAGACCAAAGAGGGGGACCUUCGGGCCUCUUGCCAUCGGAUGUGCCCAGAUGGGAUUAGCUAGUAGGGGGGGUAACGGCCCACCUAGGCGACGAUCCCUAGCUGGUCUGAGAGGAUGACCAGCCACACUGGAACUGAGACACGGUCCAGACUCCUACGGGAGGCAGCAGUGGGGAAUAUUGCACAAUGGGCGCAAGCCUGAUGCAGCCAUGCCGCGUGUAUGAAGAAGGCCUUCGGGUUGUAAAGUACUUUCAGCGGGGAGGAAGGGAGUAAAGUUAAUACCUUUGCUCAUUGACGUUACCCGCAGAAGAAGCACCGGCUAACUCCGUGCCAGCCGCCGCGGUAA